RNAcentral lists this ribosomal RNA (279 nucleotides) under uncultured bacterium. RNAcentral's name for it is "partial 16S ribosomal RNA". It matches the Rfam family "Bacterial small subunit ribosomal RNA", at positions 506 to 784 of the family's 1533-position model. The record is from RNAcentral.
UGCCAGCAGCCGCGGUAACACGGAGGCCCCGAGCGUUGUUCGGAAUUACUGGGCGUAAAGGGUGCGUAGGCGGUUAGGUAAGUCAGUUGUGAAAGCCCGGGGCUCAACCUCGGAAUAGCAGCCGAUACUGCCUGACUAGAGGAUUGGAGAGGAGACUGGAAUUCUCGGUGUAGCAGUGAAAUGCGUGGAUAUCGAGAGGAAGACCAAUGGCGAAGGCAGGUCUCUGGACAACUCCUGACGCUGAGGUGCGAAAGCGUGGGGAGCAAACAGGAUUAGAUA